GACGAACGCUGGCGGCGUGCUUAACACAUGCAAGUCGAACGGAAAGGCCCUGCUUUUGUGGGGUGCUCGAGUGGCGAACGGGUGUGUAACACGUGAGUAACCUGCCCUUGUCUUUGGGAUAACUUCAGGAAACUGGGGCUAAUACCGGAUAGGAGCUCCUGCUGCAUGGUGGGGGUUGGAAAGUUUCGGCGGUUGGGGAUGGACUCGCAGCUUAUCAGCUUGUUGGUGGGGUAGUGGCUUACCAAGGCUUUGACGGGUAGCCGGCCUGAGAGGGUGACCGGCGACAAUGGGACUGAGAGACGGCCCAGACGCCUACUGGAGGCAGCAGGGGGGAAUAUUGCACAAUGGGCGGAAGCCUGAGGCAGCAACGCCGCGUGCGGGAUGACGGCCUUCGGGUGGUAAACCGCUGUCGCCGGUGACGAAGCGGGAGUGACGGUAAUGGGUAAAGAAGCACCGGCUAACUACGUG
RNAcentral lists this ribosomal RNA (468 nucleotides) under uncultured bacterium. RNAcentral's name for it is "partial 16S ribosomal RNA". It matches the Rfam family "Bacterial small subunit ribosomal RNA", at positions 28 to 507 of the family's 1533-position model. The record is from RNAcentral.